RNAcentral lists this ribosomal RNA (253 nucleotides) under uncultured bacterium. RNAcentral's name for it is "partial 16S ribosomal RNA". It matches the Rfam family "Bacterial small subunit ribosomal RNA", at positions 524 to 776 of the family's 1533-position model. The record is from RNAcentral.
UACGUAGGUGACAAGCGUUGUCCGGAUUUACUGGGCGUAAAGAGCGCGCAGGCGGUCGUUCAAGUCGAGUGUGAAAGCCCCCGGCUCAACUGGGGAGGGUCACUCGAUACUGAUCGACUCGAAGGCAGGAGAGGGAAGUGGAAUUCCCGGUGUAGUGGUGAAAUGCGUAGAUAUCGGGAGGAACACCAGUGGCGAAGGCGGCAUCCUGGACCAUAACUGACGCUGAGGCGCGAAAGCUAGGGGAGCAAACGGG